CAGUCGCCACGGUAAUACAGAGGGUGCAAGCGUUAAUCGGAAUUACUGGGCGUAAAGCGCGCGUAGGUGGUUUGUUAAGUUGGAUGUGAAAGCCCCGGGCUCAACCUGGGAACUGCAUCCAAAACUGGCAAGCUAGAGUACGGUAGAGGGUGGUGGAAUUUCCUGUGUAGCGGUGAAAUGCGUAGAUAUAGGAAGGAACACCAGUGGCGAAGGCGACCACCUGGACUGAUACUGACACUGAGGUGCGAAAGCGUGGGGAGCAAACAGGAUUAGAUACCCCUGUAGUCCCUGUCUCUUAUAC
RNAcentral lists this ribosomal RNA (301 nucleotides) under uncultured bacterium. RNAcentral describes it as "partial 16S ribosomal RNA". It matches the Rfam family "Bacterial small subunit ribosomal RNA", at positions 509 to 807 of the family's 1533-position model. The record is from RNAcentral.